RNAcentral lists this ribosomal RNA (253 nucleotides) under uncultured bacterium. RNAcentral's name for it is "partial 16S ribosomal RNA". It matches the Rfam family "Bacterial small subunit ribosomal RNA", at positions 524 to 776 of the family's 1533-position model. The record is from RNAcentral.
UACGGAGGGUGCGAACGUUAAUCGGAAUUACUGGGCGUAAAGCGUGCGUAGGCGGUUCUCCAAGUCCGUUGUGAAAGCCCCGGGCUCAACCUGGGAAUGGCAGUGGAAACUAGGGGACUGGAAUCUGGCAGAGGGGGGUGGAAUGCCGCGUGUAGCAGUGAAAUGCGUAGAGAUGCGGCGGAACACCGAUGGCGAAGGCAGCCCCCUGGGCUGAGAUUGACGCUCAGGCACGAAAGCGUGGGGAGCAAACAGG